UUAUGGCUCAGGAUGAACGCUAGCGGCAGGCUAACACAUGCAAGUCGAGGGGCAGCGCGGGGUAGCAAUACUCGUGGCGGCGACCGGCGGAAGGGUGCGUAACGCGUGAGCAACUUGCCCGCAUCAGGGGGAUAAGCGUUGGAAACGGCGUCUAAUACCCCCGUAACAACAGAGGGCGCAUGCUUUUUGUUUGAAAGCUACGGCGGAUGCGGAUGGGCUCGCGUGACAUUAGCUAGUCGGCGGGGUAACGGCCCACCGAGGCGACGAUGUCUAGGGGUUCUGAGAGGAAGGUCCCCCACACUGGAACUGAGACACGGUCCAGACUCCUACGGGAGGCAGCAGUGAGGAAUAUUGGUCAAUGGCCGGAAGGCUGAACCAGCCAUGCCGCGUGCAGGAAAUGAGGCCCUAUGGGUCGUAAACUGCUUUUGUGGCGGAGCAAUAAGGGUUACGUGUAAUCCGAUGAGAGUACGUCACGAAUAAGCAUCGGCUAACUCCGUGCCAGCAGCCGC
This 509-nucleotide ribosomal RNA is filed under the name uncultured bacterium. Its description in RNAcentral is "bacterial SSU rRNA". It matches the Rfam family "Bacterial small subunit ribosomal RNA", at positions 17 to 518 of the family's 1533-position model. The record is from RNAcentral.